CCAGGGUUGGCCGAGCGGUUUAGGCAACAAACUCAUAAUUUGUGCAAGGCAGGUUCAACUCCUGCACCCUGGA
RNAcentral lists this transfer RNA (73 nucleotides) under Pleurocapsa sp. Its description in RNAcentral is "tRNA-Ile". It matches the Rfam family "tRNA". Rfam says of the family: Transfer RNA (tRNA) molecules are approximately 80 nucleotides in length. Their secondary structure includes four short double-helical elements and three loops (D, anti-codon, and T loops). Lineage: Bacteria; Bacillati; Cyanobacteriota; Cyanophyceae; Pleurocapsales; Pleurocapsaceae. The record is from RNAcentral. RNAcentral also lists the same sequence under 33 other names.